GAUGAACGCUGGCGGCGUGCCUAAUACAUGCAAGUCGAGCGAACGGACGAGAAGCUUGCUUCUCUGAUGUUAGCGGCGGACGGGUGAGUAACACGUGGAUAACCUACCUAUAAGACUGGGAUAACUUCGGGAAACCGGAGCUAAUACCGGAUAAUAUUUUGAACCGCAUGGUUCAAAAGUGAAAGACGGUCUUGCUGUCACUUAUAGAUGGAUCCGCGCUGCAUUAGCUAGUUGGUAAGGUAACGGCUUACCAAGGCAACGAUGCAUAGCCGACCUGAGGGGGUGAUCGGCCACACUGGAACUGAGACACGGUCCAGACUCCUACGGGAGGCAGCAGUAGGGAAUCUUCCGCAAUGGGCGAAAGCCUGACGGAGCAACGCCGCGUGAGUGACGAAGGUCUUCGGAUCGUAAAACUCUGUUAUUAGGGAAGAACAUAUGUGUAAGUAACUGUGCACAUCUUGACGGUACCUAAUCAGAAAGCCACGGCUAACUACGUGCCAGCAGCCGCGGUAAUACGUAGGUGGCAAGCGUUAUCCGGAAUUAUUGGGCGUAAAGCGCGCGUAGGCGGUUUUUUAAGUCUGAUGUGAAAGCCCACGGCUCAACCGUGGAGGGUCAUUGGAAACUGGAAAACUUGAGUGCAGAAGAGGAAAGUGGAAUUCCAUGUGUAGCGGUGAAAUGCGCAGAGAUAUGGAGGAACACCAGUGGCGAAGGCGACUUUCUGGUCUGUAACUGACGCUGAUGUGCGAAAGCGUGGGGAUCAAACAGGAUUAGAUACCCUGGUAGUCCACGCCGUAAACGAUGAGUGCUAAGUGUUAGGGGGUUUCCGCCCCUUAGUGCUGCAGCUAACGCAUUAAGCACUCCGCCUGGGGAGUACGACCGCAAGGUUGAAACUCAAAGGAAUUGACGGGGACCCGCACAAGCGGUGGAGCAUGUGGUUUAAUUCGAAGCAACGCGAAGAACCUUACCAAAUCUUGACAUCCUUUGACAACUCUAGAGAUAGAGCCUUCCCCUUCGGGGGACAAAGUGACAGGUGGUGCAUGGUUGUCGUCAGCUCGUGUCGUGAGAUGUUGGGUUAAGUCCCGCAACGAGCGCAACCCUUAAGCUUAGUUGCCAUCAUUAAGUUGGGCACUCUAAGUUGACUGCCGGUGACAAACCGGAGGAAGGUGGGGAUGACGUCAAAUCAUCAUGCCCCUUAUGAUUUGGGCUACACACGUGCUACAAUGGACAAUACAAAGGGCAGCGAAACCGCGAGGUCAAGCAAAUCCCAUAAAGUUGUUCUCAGUUCGGAUUGUAGUCUGCAACUCGACUACAUGAAGCUGGAAUCGCUAGUAAUCGUAGAUCAGCAUGCUACGGUGAAUACGUUCCCGGGUCU
Molecule: ribosomal RNA, 1372 nt
Filed under: uncultured bacterium
Lineage: Bacteria
Description: bacterial SSU rRNA
Rfam family: Bacterial small subunit ribosomal RNA
Source: RNAcentral